RNAcentral lists this ribosomal RNA (464 nucleotides) under uncultured bacterium. Its description in RNAcentral is "partial 16S ribosomal RNA". It matches the Rfam family "Bacterial small subunit ribosomal RNA", at positions 338 to 795 of the family's 1533-position model. The record is from RNAcentral.
CCUACGGGAGGCAGCAGUGGGGAAUAUUGCGCAAUGGGCGAAAGUCUGACGCAGCGACGCCGCGUGAGGGAUGAAGGUCUUCGGAUCGUAAACCUCUGUCAGCAGGGAAGAACGGUCACUGUGCUAAUCAGCAGUGAAUUGACGGUACCUGCAAAGGAAGCACCGGCUAACUCCGUGCCAGCAGCCGCGGUAAUACGGAGGAUGCGAGCGUUAUCCGGAUUUAUUGGGUUUAAAGGGUGCGCAGGCGGAGGCACAAGUCAGCGGUAAAAUCGCGGGGCUCAACCCCGCUCCGCCGUUGAAACUGUGUCCCUUGAGUGCGCGAAGGGUAGGCGGAAUGCGUGGUGUAGCGGUGAAAUGCAUAGAUAUCACGCAGAACUCCGAUCGCGAAGGCAGCCUACCGGCGCGCAACUGACGCUCAUGCACGAAAGCGUGGGUAUCGAACAGGAUUAGAUACCCCUGUAGUC